This 480-nucleotide unclassified non-coding RNA is filed under the name Hevea brasiliensis (rubber tree). The record is from RNAcentral. Lineage: Eukaryota; Viridiplantae; Streptophyta; Magnoliopsida; Malpighiales; Euphorbiaceae.
UUUUUAAUGGCUAACUUACUCUAGUUUAUAUUUACUAGAAUCACUCAGUUUUGCUUCUGUAUUAAUAAACUAGAGUAAGUUAGCCAUUAAAAACACAAGAAGAAGCUCAAGAAGAACAAUGCGCCAUCAAAUUUUUAUUUGUGCAAAUUGUGUACUUGGCCUUUAUUUAUUAGCUUCCAUAGAGCAUCCUUAGCUUCCUCUAAUGUUUCAACUGCAUGCCCCUCUUCAAAUGAUAACCGCUGUACAUUGAACUGUGCACCUUGACGGACCCGAAUAUCGAUUCCUUUGCUGUCUAUUGAUAUCAGAGCAGCAUCAUCCACCUCUGUUUCGGUGGACAACAGCUCUUUAAGGGGCUUUGAGAAGAUUGCAUUGAGUUCCUUAAGAUUUUGCUCCCCUCCAUCAACUGCAAUUUUAUCAGGCUGAAGGGCCUCAUAUUCAUUAACAUCAACCCAAGCAACAGUGCCAAAGCCUCCAAUAAAG